GCGGCCGUGGCGGAACUGGCAGACGCGCAGGCUUCAGGUGCCUGUGUCCCUCGGGACGUGGAGGUUCGACUCCUCUCGGCCGCA
Non-coding RNA from Phycisphaerae bacterium SM23_33, 84 nucleotides. NCBI's taxonomy places the organism in Bacteria, Pseudomonadati, Planctomycetota, Phycisphaerae. The record is from Rfam.